AUUAAGAUUGUAAUACUUGUUUUUGAGCUACUCAAUGCAAUAUAUUGUGUGUUCAUUAUAUUGAUUAGUAUUAAGCUUCCAGAUUGUUCGAAAUUUAAUGUACGACGUAUUUUUUAUGAAAACGAUCAGAUCUAUUGUAUUAUCGAUUUUAUACUGGUUUAAUAGUGGACGCCAUUAAGUCAUUUCAAUGAUAAGCUCGACUUUGCACUAAACAUUUUGUAUAGUCCUAUCAAUUUAAGACCAUCUCUUUUGUAAUUUUACGAACACUUGUCAUUUCCAUAUAUUGAUCGUUCUGUAAGUUCGGCGCGCCAUUCUUGCACUUAGUAUAUGUCACGUGGAAAGCGCGCCUAAUUACAUAAUAUAAUACCACAGUGAAAGAAAUAUGUUGUGCCACACCCCCUUUUUUUAUUUCAUUUUUCAAAGUUUUGCAAAUGUUUCAAUUGUUUAGAAUUCUGAAUUUCGCACCACCAUUUAGUUAUACACGAAUAAGUAACGAAUCCAUGGACGAUACUCGUAGAAUUAUAAUGUUAAUUUGAUAGAUUAGCUACAUUUGAUAGACAAACAGAUAUAUUAAGUCAUCUACAUUGGAACAUUGUCCAAAAUGACAGAAUAUUGGUUAAUAUCCGCACCUGGAGAUAAAACAUGUCAACAGACAUGGGAAACUAUGAACAAUUUGACAUCAAAACAACAUUCUUUGUCAGUCAACUACAAAUUUCAUAUCCCAGAUUUAAAGGUGGGAACAUUGGACCAAUUGGUUGGCUUAUCAGAUGAUCUAGGAAAACUUGAUGCUUAUGUUGAACAAGUAACACGCAAGGUGGCAACAUACCUAGGAGAAGUUUUAGAAGAUCAGAGAGACAAGCUACAUGAAAAUCUUUUGGCUAACAAUAGUCAAACGUCAGUGGAUGGGGAGAGCUCGAGCCCCGAAGGGGGUCCGGACACCCCGCCAAACACCCCCGUCACCCCAUCACACAAGUCUUCGAAGGAGCAUCACAAGCAGUGGAAGGAAUCGGAGAAAUGUGAACCAGAACCAGCCGCCUGUUUAGGUCAGCAUCAUCACCAGCGUCAUCAUCAUCACGAGCAUCAUCAUAGUCAUAAACAUCACAAUCAUCCUUCUGAAACCGAAAAAAAAUCAUCAUAUAGUCCUCAAGGCAUCUGUGAUGUCAGAUCAUCAAAUGAUCCUUUAUCAGCAUAUUCAUGCUACCAUGCGCAUUGGUGCGCUGCUUCUACCUCUUCCACACCUAUUCCUAGUCCUACUCCCACGAGUCCGAGUCUUUCCCUUUCAUCAAACUGUAGCAGUGAAGGAGAGACCAGAUGGCAGUCGGCGACACGUCAUCGGACUACUGAGAAAGCAGAUCGAUCUACCUCCAAUCGCAAAUCGCUCGGCAAUGACGACGACGAAGACGAUGCGGACCAAAACAACGACCAAGACCAAGACCAAGACCAUAGCGGCAAUUUGCCCAAUCCAGGUGAUCUACCAUCAUAUAUAACUCGAUUCCAGUGGGAUAUGGCAAAGUAUCCUAUCAAGCAAUCAUUGAGAAAUAUUGCUGACAUUAUCAGUAAACAAGUGGGUCAGAUUGAUGCUGAUCUUAAAACUAAAUCUACAACAUAUAAUAAUUUGAAAGGAAGUUUACAAAAUCUUGAAAAGAAGCAGACAGGAAGCUUAUUAACAAGAAAUUUGGCAGAUUUAGUGAAGAAGGAACACUUUAUCUUGGAUAGCGAAUAUUUAACUACUUUGCUUGUAAUCGUCCCAAGAGCAAAUUUCCAGGAGUGGCAUAGUGGAUAUGAAAAGUUAACGAAAAUGAUAGUACCACGUACCACACAACUCAUUGCUCAAGAUGUUGAGUAUGGAUUAUUUACUGUUACUUUAUUCAAAAAAGUUAUCGAUGAAUUUAAAUUACACGCACGUGAGAAGAAGUUCAUUGUUCGUGAUUUUACAUAUAAUGAAGAGGAACUAGCAGCAGGAAAAAAUGAGAUAACAAAAUUGGUAACAGAUAAAAAGAAACAAUUUGGGCCUCUUGUACGUUGGUUAAAAGUUAAUUUUAGUGAGUGUUUUUGUGCAUGGAUUCAUGUUAAAGCUUUGCGCGUGUUUGUAGAAUCUGUCCUAAGGUAUGGAUUACCUGUAAAUUUUCAAGCGAUAUUAUUGCAUCCUCAUAAAAAAUGUGCAAGGCGUUUACGUGAUGUUCUGAACCAGCAUUACGCUCAUUUAGAUUCCUCUGCUACAACAUCGUCUGGUGCACAAGGAAAUCAAGAUAGCGUGGAUAUACCAGGGUUAGGUUUUGGCCAAAAUGAUUAUUUCCCUUAUGUGUAUUAUAAAAUCAACGUAGAUAUGGUUGACAAUAAGGUCUAAUUAUUGAAGUGAUGAGUCUAUUUUCUUAUAUUUUAAAUAUCCUUUCAUUUACAUAAAACAUACUUCCAUAUCUCCAGGUACUUAAAGCAGGAGUAUAUCAAAUAUUUACUCAAAACUGAUAUUUUUAUAGUACAUCAAAAUGCCUGGAGAGAUGUAUGUACUUUGAUAUUAGCUUAAUAUAAACUAUGCAUAAUAGAAUGCACAAUCAUUUGUAUAAAUUUUAGCAGACGAAUUUGAAUACAUCUUGCAAAUUUUCUUUUUUUUUAAACAGGCUAUAUUUGAUUGAACAAAAGACAUUAGUACAAAUGAGACUCAUAAUAUGAUUAUAUACUUUAAAUUUUCAGCUUUAACAAAAAUUGAAUAUAUUAAAGAUUAACAACCAUAAUAAUCACAUUCUGCGUAAAAUGCUUGUAUAAAUGUACCAAAAUUCUCACAAUUAAAUAUAGCACAACCUAUUUUAUAUAGUACUACAUGAAGAGCAAAAAAUAUAUUGUGCCAGAAUAGAAAUUCUGCAAUGUAGAAUUGUAUUAUGUUAUGUAUUGCUUAUAAAAUUAAGACCAUUGUGAAUAUUGUUAUAAAGAAGAAAGUGCAUCUUGUUACAAGAACAUAUGUCAUAAUAUCUGUUUUGAUUCAAAUGCUUUUACCAUGUUCAUUCAAUAGGUCUUCAUAAUGCAUAUUGUAUUAUGCGACAACUAGCAAAAUAAGUGUUAUUGAAGUGUUAAGAUACUGUAAAUUUAUUUCACUAAUAUUAAAAACUAAUGUUUUAACAAUGCAGAGUGUACCAGAUACAUGCUAAUGUAUCAAUGUUACUUAUUAAAAACUAUAAAACUGCAAAAUAUUAGUGUAACUCUUGAAGUAUUAUUAUUAACAUUAUCUUUCAAGUUUUAAUGAUAUCUAAAGCUUUUCAUUUUAUAAUAAAUACAAUUGAAGUAUUAAAUAUUGAUUUGAAGGCUGCACAAAAAUGAAAAGUAAUAUGCGGAAUCGCUAUGGUGCAUGUUGUUUAAACAGGUUGUAUUAUAAAUACUUUAUGUAUAGAAACUAUGCUUUGCAAUAUUACUUUAAAUAUCGCUUAAAUUUUAUUUUUUUCGAAAUGGUAUUUUUAAUGCAACGAUGUAAAUCGAAUUGUAUGUCUGAAUAUAUUCAAUUUUAUUCUAUACAUACGUUUGAGAAAUAGAAUGAUCUACAGAUAUAAUAUUUUUCCUGAUUUAAGCAAACAUAUUUUAACCUAUGGGAACAUAAUUUAGUUUAUAAUUUCCGUUCGAAUAAUAAUCAUUAAUUCAUUAGUGUUUCGCAGCGCAUUUGUAUUUCGAACUGUAAAUUAUUAUACAGUUGACGAUAAAGUGUUAAAAAGUAAACGAAAUUUUACCGUCAUCGAUUAAAUUUUAUAAAAGAAAAGUUUUCCUAUGCGUUAAAUAAUGAAAAUGUUCUAUGUAUUAAAAACGUUAUAUGUAUCAUACUGAUAAUUCUGAAAAUGUAUUGUUUUAUAUACUCCAAAAUCAAUUACAAUAUUAUAUUAAUAAUAUAUAAUUUUUAAAUUCCAGUUGUAAAAACAUUUCAGUCACAGUGAUGACAAUAUUAGCUGAAUCAUAACUGUAUGUUAAAUCUAUGAAUAAAUGAAUUCUUGAAUGGA
Bombus pyrosoma is the source of this 3977-nucleotide RNA transcript. It is a transcript of the gene named V-type proton ATPase subunit C, with no coding region annotated. Lineage: Eukaryota; Metazoa; Arthropoda; Insecta; Hymenoptera; Apidae. The transcript is spliced from 10 exons. The record is from RefSeq and is a predicted model, not a curated record.